UCCCACUUCAACAUCAAAAUCUGCAUGCUGUCCCUCCACCAACUCCAAGCUCUCCAUCCUGUAGCUUUCCCCAGCCACUGCUGGGAGUACAGAAGUAGACCUCACUGCCAAUGCUGAGGUGAUGGACAAAUUCCAAUUUGGAUACCAGCCUGAUGACUGAAGCUGUAACAUGGAGCCAACAAGAAAAAGAAAAUUCCUAUGACACAAAUGCCUGUGACUCCCUGUUUCACAGCACAGACCUUGGGAAUCAUCACCUGAUAUGCAUAUGUUACUACAAAUUUUAUAAAAAUUAUACAGAAGAACAAAGAGAUUUCUUGGACUGCUAAUAGCAUAUCUGAUUGGCAUAAUAGCUAUUGCAACUACAGCCACUGUUGCAGGAACAGCGCUACAUCAAUCUAUUCAAACUACAGCAUUUGUUCAAAAAUGGCAUACAAAUUCCUCAGAUGCACAAGAAAAACCCUCUCAGAUCUAAAGCAGAAAGAAGCUGCUUGGUCCAUUCUGUCUACAUUGAAGAAACAAAAAGGGGGACAUAUGGGGAACCAAGCUUUUCAUGUCACUUAGACCUUGUCUGGGGUGGUGGCCUGGAAUGCUGGGCCACAAGCCUGCAUGCAAAACCAUGCAGGCAUGCCUUGUAAAGAUGUGUGUCUUGUGACUAUGACAGCAGCAUUAAACAUUGAGCCCAGAUUAUUCCUUCUUAUCUGCAGCAGGAUGUAAAGAUUAAUAUCUGAGAGACCCUGAAUGCUUUUGAUCAUGUAGCAUAGUCUUGCUUUAUGUAACAAAUAAAUAAAUAACUGGAACACAGGUGCAUUAGCACCCACUUGGCAUACAAUGCUGUGGGUCCCCUGCUCCCUUAAAACUUAACU
Choloepus didactylus (southern two-toed sloth) is the source of this 863-nucleotide long non-coding RNA. RefSeq lists it as uncharacterized. The transcript is spliced from 4 exons. The record is from RefSeq and is a predicted model, not a curated record. Lineage: Eukaryota; Metazoa; Chordata; Mammalia; Pilosa; Megalonychidae.